GGCGCUGUUAUAGUUUCUAUCGUGGACACUGGGUAAAUCGAGCAGUAAUAAGAAGUUUGUAAGAUUCUGAAAGCAAGAUGGCUCGUGGACAACAGAAAAUUCAGGCACAAAUGAAAAAUGCUGAGAAGCAGGCAAAAUUGAAGAAGAUGCAGGGAGCAGAUUCAAAGAAGGCUGCUGCCGCAGCACUGGUCUACAAGUGUACUGUGUGUAUGUCACAAAUGCCAGACCCAAAGACGUACAGGCAACAUUUUGAGAACAAGCACUCCAAGAGUCCUUUACCAGACUGUCUGAAGGAGACAUCAUAAUUGGUAUAACACAGGUACGAGAUGAUUAAAAGCAGGUUCCUCAUUCCAGAAUUUUUGUGGGAUGUGAAAAGUUCCAUUAAAUUCAAAACAAACUUUUUCGUCAUGAAGAUCCUGCAAAGAUAUGAUAUUGGAAUCUAGAUUUUUUUUACACAUUUGUAGAAAUUAAGAAGAAAUAAAAUUUGUGUAUCAUGUAGAUCUAGAGGAUGUGGUAAAAUAUUGAUAAAACUUUUUUUUGAAAGAGAGAGAAAUAGUUUCAAGUAUAUACAAACAACAAACAAAAUGUCCAGAAAUUUGAAAAAGUGUAAGCAUCCAUAAUUUUUAGCAACAAAGAGUUUUAAUUGAUUUUGACCAAAGCAUGUUUCUUUUUUGCAUUAAUUAUCAAUUCCUUGAUUACUUGACGUCAAAUUAUUGAUGUUUAUUCUCAAACCAAAUAAUUUUAUUAUAUUAGUCAAGAUGUCUGUUGUAUUGUGGUUUCUGGUGAAUAGUUGACAUUAUUAUCCAAUGUUUAAAACCAUAUUUGGAGGUUUAAGCAGAGUUGUUGUGUCAAACUUUCAACAUCUCAUGUAGCUUCUAUUCCUAAUUCCCUGUUGCCUUUUGUAUAAAAUGUCUGGAAGGGAAAUUUCAAGUUUCUGAAUAAAAAAUAAAUAUCCUUUGUAAAUUUGCUACAUGUAACUUGGAAACAAAAAUAUUGAGUUUGUGAAUCACAUUUUUUUAAUUUAUUUGUCGAGGCAGUUUCCGUUUUUAUUAUUUGGAUAAUCUUGUACAUCUUAUAAAGUGUUCGGUUUUGUCAAAAGUUUUUUUUUUCAACUGGAAACACUUAAUUUUUCAUUUGGUUGAUUUAAAGGUUGAAGUUAAAGCACAUUACAUGAAGAAAGUUCAGUGAAAUUAUAGUUAACUGAAUGUUUUUAAAUCUUGAAAUGUGUCAAAUGAUAAUAUGCAUUUUUGGGACGAUGAGAAAAGGGAAAAGUGUUGAAGGUAAUUGAGGAAGUAAAAACUGAUGUAUGAUAUACCCAGUAUUCAGAAAUGUAUGUAUUGUUUUGAAUGGAUAUUCGUCAUAAUGAGUUCGUAAAAGGUAUGAAAUAUUAAAUUGUUGAUUUCUUAUAAGGUGUUGUCAGUUUAAAUUCGCAUCACAUAAUGUAAGAACAUUUUGAAAAGCGCUAUCGAAAUUGCAAUUGCAUAAAGUGACUUUCAAGUAGAUGUUUUUGUGAAAUCAUAUAUGCAGUAUUCAGUUGUAUGAUGGGUCAUUUUUGGAACAGUCAAAUUUUUUAUUCCAAUCUACUGAAGAAAUAUGUUUCUCUGGUGACAGCGUCAGGUGAACAGCAGUUUGACUGGCAAAAAUUGUCAUGAAACUUAUGAUUUGUCAUCAAAGUACGAUGUUUUGGGAAAUUCUACGAGUUAUGAGAUUCAUAUAGAGCUGUUCAUUUAGAAACGGUUAUUAAGGUUCAUCCCAUAUGGGUAAAAGCUUCGAAGGAAACAGAAAAUCUGAGAAAUUGUUGCAUACAAAGGACUUCGGGCAUUAUGGGUCAUUUUUCGUCCUCAUAAAAAGUAAAAUUUCAAAUUCAUUUACGAAUUUUGGAGCCAUCUUUCCUGGUGCAGGAAAUGAAAGCCUCUGCAUGUAACGACUAAACAUUUCUCUGAAUGAACACUGGUAUGGCAAUGUUCAAGCAAAUAUUUGCAUGUAUUUGGUUGGUGCAUGUGGAGGCUUUCAAAAAUUGAAGAGUGUUUACUAAAUUUGCUCAAAAUGGCCAAUUUUCAAUGUAAAUAGCACACCAUAGGCGAUAUUCACACAGAACUUUAUUGUGCACACAGCUUUUUUCAUUUUGAACGAAACACGGUUAACUGUUUCAACAAAGAACACAAAAAGCAUUUGAAAGAUCAUUUAUAUAUUAUAGAACAUAUGGAAACAAUAUUACGUUUCGCUACAUCAACAACAAAUGCUUUGUAUGGUUAUAUUGGGAUAAACUUUUAUUUAAUCUAGAAUUUUUGUUAUCUAAUGUGCUUGUUUUUGUGACCGAAUGAGGAAGAACAUUUAAAUGUGUUGUUUUAUUUUUUAUGUCUUGCAUUUUUUUUCUCUGUAGAAACAUAACUGGUUCAUGCGGUAUUGAUUCGUCCGUUUCUUUCAUUGGUAAUUUUUACUUUCUGUCACUUAAUGAACGUUUGGAUAAUGGUUUAUCAAGACCUGGUUUACUUAAGGACGUGUUUAAACAUAAAUCUAAUUAGAUAUAUUUAAAAAAAAAAAAACCAUUGGGAAAUUACUAUUUUGUGUAAAAAAGUUCAUGGUAGGCAAAUUUCAAAUCAGUUCUGUGGUUGGUGCAGAGCUGAUACGCUGACAUGAAUUUUCUGUUGGAAAUUUAGGUACCUUUCAUUAGAUAAGGAUAUCUUAAAGGAAAUCCCACCCCUCCCAAAUUGGAUAUACAUUCUAGUAGUUUCUAACGAUGAGAAAAAACAAACUUCUUCUGUUUUCUUGACUUUAAAAGCUAUUCAAUUAAAAUAGUUGUCAUAGUUUCUAACGAUAAAAACCCCCAAAUUUCUUUUGUUUUCAUGACUUUAAAAGCUAUUCAAUUAAAAUAGUUAACAAUAUGUCAAUUUGCAUAGCUUAACCACUGAACUCGGAUGCCUUUAACAUGUUAAUGCUUGAUAACUUGAAGUUGAAAUUAUAACCUGCCAGGGCUAAAUUGGUUAGCUCCUUAGCCCUUUCACCACUGCAGACCAUCAUGGACUCAUCUAGAUGAAUGUAUGGUAGAGUCUACUCAAGUUCUCUAGGGAUGAAAGGGUUAACCUAGCAAGCAACAUAUGUUCCCAGCGGAAGUAGCUCGAUUUCAUGGGUACUUAUGUAAAGAAGGGGUGUGUGAAAACACAGAGGCUGUGGGAUACAUAAUGCUUGAUAAUAUUCCAAAAAAGUCGAGGUUUUUGUACUAAUGUAUGAUGCUAUGAUUUAGACCUGUUGUAAUAAGACUUUCACUGUGAACACAGAUACCGUACUUUCCCCAGAUUUAUUAUCAGAUUUUCUCAAUGCGUUUUAACUCACUCACCCCUGAAGACACAUUUGAGCUCUUCCAAUUUAAAGGCUGGACUAGUUCAUCAUAAAAUUUCAGGGGUGAAUGAGUUAAAGUGGCUUUGAAGAGAUGUCUGAUUUUGAAUCGUGAUUUGCGUUAUUGUUGGUAAGAUUAUUACCUCUGUGUCUGCUGAAUAUUUAGAUAUUGUUGACAUAUUAAUAUGUGUGGUCAAGGAUUGUAAUUUGUUUUCACUAUUCAUGUGCAUUAUAGGAGGAGAAAAUGUUGCAUCCGAAUUCAACUGGUACCUACUGUAUAAUACGAAAUGUUCGUGGGUACUUUCCUUCAUAGUUUGAAGAUUUAAUAUAGUUUCGUGGUACAAACUUUCCUGGAGAUCCAAUUUUAACAAACAGUAGAUACGUAUAUCAUUCAAAUUCUUUGUAUUUAUUUUCGUGGUUCAAAAGUAACCACGAAAACCAUGAAUGUUUAUACACAAAGAACAUUUCAUGUUAUACAGUACAUGUUUUGUAGGGAUAUAAUAAUAUGUACACUUAUAUAUGUAUAUGUAAAUAUGUUCAAAUUGUCGUUUUGGUGGUUGAUAAAAUGAAACACACAUUUAUAUUGAUUGGUGUUCACUUUCCAUCUAUUACACAAAUCUUGCCUUCAGUUAAUCAUUUUAUCUAGGGUAGAAGUCACUCAAUAAAUAUAUGUAGGGAGGUGUUCCCACCUCUUAUAAUUCUUUCUGGGGCCCACUAUAUGAAUGUUAACAAUUACAACUCUGCAUUUUAAACUUGCCCCUAUAUAAUUCCAAGGUUUUUGUCCGAAAUAGCCAUACAUCUCCCAGUCUUUAUAUUUCUGUUAACUGCUCUUUCCUUAAUGAUAUAAGUAUUUCUUUUGUAAAUUAAAUCAUAAUAUAUGCCUCUGUCCUUGUACAUGUACUACAUUUAUCUGUACAUAGUUUAUGAUCUUUUGUUCUGGUCUGAGGAAAGCCUAGAUGAACGUGUCCUGUAAUUUUUGUUGGUUUUAUUUCAACACUAGGAAUAUAUAUGUUUUUUCAGUUGGUCACAAGCUCUCCAACUCUUUCACCCCUUUGUAACUUUGAUAAACUCUACCAUGCUUCGAUGUUUCGGUCUACGGUGGUGAAAAGGUUAAAAUGGUAUAAAUAGCUUACCACUUUUAUUUUGGAUUUCCAAUAUAAUUUCAUAAUGUUGACAAAAAAGGAAUGCAUUUUUGGAAAGUUAAUAAGUGUUUUUUUUUUAUUGAAAUGUUGUCUUGAUGUUAUUCCUGUAAACUCUAUACACAAGUACAAAUAUCAAGCUAUAUGCACACCACAGGUACUGUUUUUUGAGAGCUUAUAGGGCUCAGCCCCACAUUUUGAAUGCUCAAAUUUUUUCUCUCCAUGCAAAAUAAUAUCUCAAAGACUUUGCUAGUAAGUUAACAGUCUCGCCUUAGGAAUCUGCUGCCCCUUAUCUUCAAAAUACUUGGAUCAACAACUGGACCGAAGACCAAUAUUGAAAAAUUCAGAAUAUGAAAUAGGAUUUGGAAGACCAAUAUAGCCAGUAUUGAAAGAAGGCAAGGUUGUAUAUCGAAUGUAAAGUUUGUCAAGCUGGCGUUUGUAGGCGGUAGAGUUUGUCAAGCUGUCGUUUGUAGGCGGUAAAGUUUGUCAAGCUGUCGUUUGUAGGCGGUAAAGUUUGUCAAGCUGGCGUUUGUAGGCGGUAAAGGUUGUCAAGCUGUCGUUUGUAGGCGGUAAAGUUUGUCAAGCUGUCGUUUGUAGGCGGUAAAGUUUGUCAAGCUGUCGUUUGUAGGCGGUAAAGUUUGUCAAGCUGUCGUUUGUAGGCGGUAAAGUUUGUCAAGCUGUCGUUUGUAGGCGGUAAAGUUUGUCAAGCUGUCGUUUGUAGGCGGUAAAGUUUGUCAAGCUGUCGUUUGAAGGCAGUUAAGUUAAGCGGUUGGGUAAGUAGGUAGCAAGCAGUUCAGUUGUUUAUGUUUCAACACAUUUCCUUUAUUGGUGCAUUUUGUCAAUAAAAAGGUAUUUUAUAUUG
Long non-coding RNA from Mizuhopecten yessoensis (Yesso scallop), 5337 nucleotides. RefSeq lists it as uncharacterized. The record is from RefSeq and is a predicted model, not a curated record. Lineage: Eukaryota; Metazoa; Mollusca; Bivalvia; Pectinida; Pectinidae. The transcript has 4 exons.